This 432-nucleotide long non-coding RNA is filed under the name Physcomitrium patens. Its description in RNAcentral is "long non-coding RNA (PPAT_LNC001313)". Lineage: Eukaryota; Viridiplantae; Streptophyta; Bryopsida; Funariales; Funariaceae. The record is from RNAcentral.
AAAUAAUUCUCAACCAAGUCUUAAUUUAAUCUUAAUUGAAAUCCUAAUAGAAUUCAAUCAAAUUCUAGGCCAAAUCUUAAAUCCUAAACAAAUCCUAAAUCCUAAAUAAAUCCUAAAUCAAAUCCUAAAUCCUGGUCUAAUCUUUAAUCAAACCUUAACCAAAUCUUAAGCAAAUCCUAUAUCCUAAAUCAUAAGAAAAUCCUAAAUCUUAAAUCCUAAACCAUAAGAAAAUCAUAAAUCAAAUCCUAAAUCUAAUCCUAAACCCUAAAUUCUAAAUCCCAAGCAAAUCUUAAAUCAAAUCCUAAAUCAAAUCUUGAAUCCUAAAUCCUAAGCAAAUCUUAGACCAAACUCUAAACUCUAGUCCAACCUUAAAUCUUAACCAAAUCUUCACCAAAUUCUAAGUAAAUCCUAAAUCAAAUCCUAAAUCCUAGU